UUUCUCUCCAAUUUUUCCUUUUCCCAUAUGAGCAGAGCCUGGAAGUGCACAGACACAUUAGGGAAUGUUUCCACUGUGUGGGAGAAACAUCUGCAGAGUACGCCUGGACCACCAGAAGUGGAGUGAGAAAGAAGCAUGUGGGGGCGGAGGCGGCAGACAAUGAAAGGAAAACUGGGAGCUGGUGAGGCCCAAACAUCCAACGGAAUUGCCUAACCUUCAGAGAAAGGUGAAGAGAUGCUGUUUAUGGAAAAUGGAUAAAAAAUGGUGAUACACAACUAGAAGGACCCACAACUAAGAAUAUACAACUAUGUACCGGGGGUCUUUGGG
This 327-nucleotide long non-coding RNA is filed under the name Equus asinus (donkey). RNAcentral's name for it is "lncRNA (ENSEASG00005037110.1)". Lineage: Eukaryota; Metazoa; Chordata; Mammalia; Perissodactyla; Equidae. The record is from RNAcentral.